CAGCACUUUGGGAGGCCGAGGCGGGCAGAUCACCCGAGGUCAGGAGUUCGAGACCAGCCCGUGCAACAUGGUGAAACCCUGUCUCUACUAAAAAUACAAAAAUUAGCUGGGGGCUGUGGUGCACGCCAGUAAUCACAGCUACUUGGGAGGCUGAGGCAGGAGAACCAUUUGAACCCGGGAGGUGGAAGUUGCAGUGAGCCGAGAUGGCACCACUGCUCUCCAGCCAGGGUGAUAAGGCAAGACUCUGUCUCAAAAAAAACAAAAAACAAAAAAACAAAAAAAAAACAAUGAACUUUUUGGACAAUAUGCUUCGUAUACUUCAUUCACUGAGUAUGCAAUCUAGAUUCACAAAGCUAGUUUUUAGGGUGACACUUCAUUCAGUGGAUAUGCAACUUAGAUUCCCAAAGCAAUAGGCCAGCAUUGGGACUGACUAGAUGUAGCAAAAUGACCCCAAUUUUCUAUACCAUGGUUUAGGGACACAAAACCAGGGAACACUUAACCAGGCCUAUUCUACUGGGGUGAUCAAAGAAGAGUUAAACAAAUCCAACCACAAGCACAAAAUAAAGCCCAUGUGAGCGGCACACGGCACACAUGUAACUUUAUAUUAUAAAUCAUUUCCUCAUAUUUUCAAAGGAAAGGAAGUUCUAUAAAGUGAUUGUAUUUACUACACAUCUGGUAUCAGAGAUAUUCAAGAUUGCUAUAAAAUGAUUAUUUAUAACUCAAUAGCUACUCUUGUUUACUACAUAGAAUACAUCACCAUCCCAUAUUGUUACAUUAAAUCAGCAUUUUCCCCACUUUUACUGCAUUUGUUAUCAAGCCUGUGGCUCAGGCAAAAAUGCCUUACAAAGAGCAGCCUAGAAGGUAAUAAAUAAGAUGCACUUCUAAUCUGCCUGGGGUUCGAAAGUUUAUUCCAGCUGAGUCCACAUGUAACCCAGAGAAGAAGCCCCUCUGUUUGUUCCCUUAGGCAUUCUUCCCUCUUGGAAUACAUUUCAAGGAGGGGCAGGGUAAUAUCAUCUUAGGUACAGAGCUCUGUAGGAGUACAAAGUACCCUAUGGAGCUAAGGCAGUGAGAAGACUGGACUGGGCAUUGGAUAGUGCUGACGGAGUGGGCAGGUUUUGUUCUUGUGGUCAUUCAGCAUCCACUCCUCCUUCUUUGGUAGUUGCAUUCCAAUUUGGGGGACGGAGGAUAGAAUUAUUCCUCCCUUAUGAGAUGAGUUUGGAGGAGAUUUUUACUCAAGGCUCCAUGCCUUUCUCUGGUUAAGGGAUAUUCACUUGACACAAGCAAGACCAAGUGAGCUCUUCCUAACCCAGGAGCCUCUCUGGGAUUUGAAUCACAAUCCCUCCUUGUGUGGAGGAAGACAAGAAACAGAGUGAUGAAAAGACAGAAAGCCAUCAGAGUUCAUUCAUUCGAGUGGUGGUUCUUGGAUAAGACUGCCCCCAUAUCCUAAAACCCCAAGAAAGCACCCGGUCCCUGUCCUCUGUAAGCCUGGUUCUAAAAUCCUAGGAGCCCCCUCAAACUCUUCCAAUAAAUUCCCCUGUGACUUUGUGGUUAACUUAGCUAGACUCUCUGUCUAUUACUUGCCAUCAAAGAACUUGAAGCCUAAACCCUGGGGCUGCCACGCCUUAGCUGAGUGGUCUUGAAAACUCACUUCACUCAACCCUAAAACAAACAGGACACAACCUGUCCUAUGGAGUUGAUCACACAAAUUGGCAAAUAGGAAAUUCCCAAUCUGGCGAGCGAGAUGGAUUGAGUUUACGCUGCUUCACACACUCUCUGGAGACUCCUUAAAGAUGUAUGUUGUAUAAAGAAUCAAUUCCAACUGCAGAAUGAAUGCUGACAGGCACCAUCAGCUCCUGCCCGUGUGUCUUCAACUCUCUCCCAUUGGAAAAAUCAAUGAAUCAGUAAUAAUAUUGUCCCCUCCUUCCUGUAAAGGAAAUCUGAGCUAAAUCCCAAGGCUGCCAUGUAAAUUUCCUCAUAUUGUUGCUUUCCUUCCCCCUCUCCCGCCCCAAGCCUUUGACAAAAAUGAUGGGCUGUGAUCUGUGUCCUAGUAGCAGGAAGCCUGUCAGACCUGACUCUUGCUGACUCUUUCAUCUCCCGGCAGCUCCAGGAAGCAAAAGAAAAAAAAAAAAAAAAGGUGGGGGAAUCUGCUGCCAUCACCCCCAUCCAAACCAGGCUCAGGAAAUUUUCCAGGGCCAGGCUGCCUUUGUGGAAGCUAUGUAAGGACUGGAGAAACACAUGUUCUCAUGCAAACAAACCCCAAAACAAAACAAGGGAUCCUGCCUUUGUACCUGGCCUGUCUCCAAAGGUGGUACAUUAUCUCCAAAGGUGGCCACCAUCAUUUCCUUCUCUCCCUAUAUGUGAUUUCCUUCUCUAUUGGCUCCAUUCAUCAAGAAGUAGAGGUGAUUCCUGCUCUUCCUCUUUGAACUUGGGCCAGCCUUGUGAUUUGCCUUGACCAACUGGACAUGGAGGAAGUGAUACUGUGCCGGUGCUUAGCCCGGCCUUUUAGAGGCCUGGCAUCUUCAGCUCUCUCUCAGGAGAAUACUUGUACCUGGAUCUUCACUAGGGGUAAGUCCUUGUUCUCGAUUUUAAACAUUUAUUUAGCCAACUAAGUGCUCUAUUAAUUCUAGUUGAAGGGGAGAUGCAGAGACAGUGUUCUAGUUGCUAAUGCUGUGUGAGAAAGCACCCCAGAAGGUCGUAGGUGAAACAACUAUCUUAAGAUGCUGGCUGAUCGGGGCUGGGGCAUUCAGAAGGGCCAAAGCAAGAGUGGCUUGUCCCUGCUCUAUGGUUCUUGGAUAACUCAAAGGGCUGGGGGCUGAGAGAGUGGAGGAAGGAGGACACACUUCCAGAUGGCUUGCUUGUUCAUGCACGUGGUUAUGCACCGGGCAGGAACAGGGACAGCCAGAGGGCCAAGCUCAAACUGACAGCUAAAGAGCCCAGAGGGGCAGUCCUUGGGGGAGGCGGUGCCCACUGCCUGCCUUAUAGACCGUAUCCCUACCAUCACCUUGACUUACUUUCCGCUAUAUGUUAUUGGAGGGAGCAGUCCCUAGCCGUCCUAGAUUCAAAUGAGGGGUAUAGACCUCACCUCCCAAGGUGGAGUCAGUAACAGGGAACUGUGGGCCACAUUUAAAACCAUGACAGGCUAGUGAAUGGCUUUCUGGGAGAUUUAUGGGUGAAGGGAGGAGGAGAGUCUUGAAGAAGCCCAGAUUCAGUCAUUCUAAGCGUUUGUCACAAAUGGAUCUAUCAUCUGGGUUUCAAAUACAGCUCUCAGAUGACUGCUCUUCAAGAGGCUGGGCACAGUGGCUUAUACCUAUAAUCCUAGCACUUUUAGAGGCUAAGGCGGAUGGAUCAGCUGAGGUCAGGAGUUCGAGACCAGCCUGGCAAAAACGGUGAAACCCCAUCUCUACUACAAAUACAAAAAUUAGCUGGGUGUGGUGGUGCACACCUGUAAUCCCAGCUAUUUGGGAGGCUGAGGCAGGAGAAUUGCUUGAACCCAGGAGACAGAGGUUGCAGUCAGCAGAGAUUACCACCACUGCAUUCCAGCCUGGGUGACAGAGUGAGACUCCAUCUCAAAAAAAUGAAACAAAAAACAAAACAAACAAACAAACAAAAAACAAAGACUGCCUUGUGUUUCCUUGCAGGCAGCCAGGGCAGAAUGCGGUGUUCUCAAGACUGCCAUGCUGGCUCAUCCAUACCUUGUUGGACUUGAUAAGUAUCGUAACCUAAUGAAGGAUGCCAUUCUGUGCUCUGCAAGGCCUGGGGGAGCCCCAGUGGGAAGGGAUCCAGAUGGUGCUGGGCCUGGGCCAAAAGUGAAAUGGGGGAGGACGGGUCCUUUCUCUCCUUUGUCCCUAACCUCCCCACUUCCUACUGCUGUCUGACUCAGAACCCUCAUGAAAAACCCAACUUUUUACACUGAUAUUUCCCAGAGGCCUAAUUGUGCAACAAGAAAUAAAAACACAAUUAGGGAACUGAGGUCCAGCAGGAAAUUCAUGUUACAUAAAUAAGACCUGGAGUGCAUAGGGGAGUGCCCCAGCUCUCAGCCUUGUUAGUAUUGAAGGCUCCGAGCACACAGAUCUGGGAUCCUCUGAUUUGGUGGAUAACCCUUGUGAACAAUAAUUCUCUGAAAAGGUAUUUGGAGGAAAGAGACUUUAUUCCUGUAAACAGUUUUCAAACUAGGGGAAUGCAGCUUUCAGUGUAAAAUGAAGGUGCUUUCCAGACAACAAAGGAGGGGCUGGGCUUUUAUAGAGAAAGUUCCUGCCCUGUUCCCACUCAGGUCCACUUAUGCAAAUAAAGGAUUCAAACUUGCUUAAUCUGAUUGGUUGAUGCUUGCUGAGUUCUGAUUUGUUGACACAGGUCAUAGUCUAUUGGUUGGUUCCGGCAACAUAAACAAGAACAGGAAGCUAUGAAAGUCCCAAAGUUAAGCAGAUGUGGGUUUUCUGGGAACUCAAAAACAUGUGUGACUUCUAGUCAGCAAGUUGCCGCUUGGCUCUAAAUUGAAUUUAGGCCCUGUUAGCCAGAGUGUGAACCUUGAGAGAGCCGGCCUUUCAAGGUUCACACUCUUCACAUGGGCUGGAGAGAUUCCUAUCAUAACUGAUUUAUCCAUUCACCCAUUGACAGGCACUUGGAUUGCUUCCACCUUUAGGGUGUUGUGGACAACAUCAACACUGCUACAAACAUGGGUGGACAAAAGGCUAGUUCUCCUCAACCAUGGUGUAUGUAGCUGGAGGGAAAAUGCCAAAAGCUGCAUUAUGAGAAACAGUAAAGUCAAAACUGGAAAGAUGGAUCAAAGCGUGAUGUCUCCCUGAAGCCCCUCCUACUAGGCUUGAGGUGAAGGAGAAGCACAGGAAGAAAAGUGCCUCAGUGCUCCAACAACUUUUUCCAAAGAAGCCCUCUUUCUCAUUUCCAACUUUAAACCUUUUAAAACUUUGAUUGGCAUAGAGCUAAGGGUUGGAGAACAUUGUCACUUCCCUCCUUUGCAAGUCUGUGUGGAUAGUUGUAUGUUAUCUCCAAAGGUGGCCACCAUCAUUUCCUUCUCUCCCUAUAUGUGAUUUCCUUCUCUAUUGGCUCCAUUCAUCAAGAAGUAGAGGCGAUUCCUGCUCUUCCUCUUUGAACUUGGGCCAGUCCUGUGAUUUGCCUUGACCAAUUGGACAUGGAGGAAGUGAUACUGUGCCAGUGCUUAGCCUGGCCUUUGAGAGGCCUGGCAUCUUCAGCUCUCUCUCAGGAGAGAAUGCAGCAGGCAUGUAAGAAGGCUGAUGAAUCAGACCACCAUAUUAUGAGGAAGCCCAAGCUAGCCACAUGGAAAUGGCACACAAAGGAAAGCUGAGGAACGAAACCAACAGAAGCAUCAGGUCCCCAGCCAUAUGACCCAGUUAAGCCACCUUAGCUAUGUGGUAUUCCAGGUAAGGUUCCCUGCUAUGUGGUAUUCCAGGUAAGGUCCCAGAAUUUAGUCAUGGAGGUGAGCCAUUCCCUCUGUGCCUUGUACAAAUUUCUGAGCCAAAUAAUUUUGAGAAAAUAAAAGACCUAUUUUAUACUGUGAAGUUUUGGUGCAUGCUGUUAUGUAGCAAUAGAUAACCUAGAGCAGUGGUCUAGCACUUCAUUUUGGAAUGUGGGAGUACUUAGUUUACUGCUUUAUUCUUAGCCUUUUGAAACCUCAGCAGAAAAUGAGACAAGUAAAAUCCCAUUUUAACAUCCUGUUACAUAUAUUUCAAGAUCAUCUGUGAAAAUGUACAUGUGAUGCUUUGUUAACCUUUAACAGCCUGUCUUAAAAGACACUAUCGUCGAGCAGAAGCCUCUAAAAACAGAAUCUUUACAAUCAGCAACAGGCUGGCUCCUGACACUUCGGGGGAUGAGGCAAGAGUACGAAUAGAGACCUACAUACCACAUGUUUAGAUACUUAAAGGCUGUAAAUCAAGCUAACAACCUAUUAAACAAAAUAUGCUGUAGCUUGCUGCUUUGAAAAAAAUACUGUCAUGAUGACCUUGAAGUCCAAGUUCAAAUUUAGAAUUCUCAACUGUCUGGAAUUCCGCAGUGGAAUAUGGUGGUGUGGGGAGAGCUAACCCUGGCUCCAGGCCUUUGUUCCAUAGCUCACCCUCUCUUCUCUCAUUCCUUCUGUGCUGUGGGAGGACUCAUUCUCAUCCACGUGGACACCCCAGCACAAACAACCAAACUCCAGUCACCAGCACACUCAGGGGUAUGAUCCAGAAAGAGGAAAGCUAUGUCCCUCUAGCUCUGGGGAUGCCUUGUCCUGGAGGGAGGCACAAAACUGGAUAAGAGUCAG
This 6274-nucleotide long non-coding RNA is filed under the name Homo sapiens (human). Its description in RNAcentral is "HSALNT0357078". The record is from RNAcentral. Lineage: Eukaryota; Metazoa; Chordata; Mammalia; Primates; Hominidae.